Molecule: ribosomal RNA, 497 nt
Filed under: uncultured bacterium
Lineage: Bacteria
Description: partial 16S ribosomal RNA
Rfam family: Bacterial small subunit ribosomal RNA
Source: RNAcentral
GAUGAACGCUGGCGGCGUGCCUAAUACAUGCAAGUCGAGCGAACAGACGAGGAGCUUGCUCCUCUGACGUUAGCGGCGGACGGGUGAGUAACACGUGGAUAACCUACCUAUAAGACUGGGAUAACUUCGGGAAACCGGAGCUAAUACCGGAUAAUAUAUUGAACCAAAUGGUUCAAUAGUGAAAGACGGGUUUGCUGUCACUUAUAGAUGGAUCCGCGCCGCAUUAGCUAGUUGGUAAGGUAACGGCUUACCAAGGCAACGAUGCGUAGCCGACCUGAGAGGGUGAUCGGCCACACUGGAACUGAGACACGGUCCAGACUCCUACGGGAGGCAGCAGUAGGGAAUCUUCCGCAAUGGGCGAAAGCCUGACGGAGCAACGCCGCGUGAGUGAUGAAGGUCUUCGGAUCGUAAAACUCUGUUAUUAGGGAAGAACAAAUGUGUAAGUAACUAUGCACGUCUUGACGGUACCUAAUCAGAAAGCCACGGCUAACUACGUG